This 252-nucleotide ribosomal RNA is filed under the name uncultured bacterium. RNAcentral describes it as "partial 16S ribosomal RNA". It matches the Rfam family "Bacterial small subunit ribosomal RNA", at positions 525 to 776 of the family's 1533-position model. The record is from RNAcentral.
ACGUAGGAUUCAAGCGUUAUCCGAAUUUACUGGGCGUAAAGCGCGUGUAGGCGGUGCGGUAAGUUGGACGUGAAAGCUCCUGGCUCAACUAGGAGAGGUCGUUCAAAACUGCCGUACUAGAGGACGGUAGAGGGAGGUGGAAUUCCCGGUGUAGUGGUGAAAUGCGUAGAUAUCGGGAGGAACACCAGUGGCGAAGGCGGCCUCCUGGGCCGUUCCUGACGCUCAGACGCGAAAGCUAGGGGAGCAAACGGG